GCCUGGCUGGCUCAGUCGGUGGAGCGUGUGACUCCUGAUCUUGGGGUUGUGAGUUCAAGCCCCAUGUUGGGUG
RNAcentral lists this transfer RNA (73 nucleotides) under Felis catus (domestic cat). It matches the Rfam family "tRNA". Rfam says of the family: Transfer RNA (tRNA) molecules are approximately 80 nucleotides in length. Their secondary structure includes four short double-helical elements and three loops (D, anti-codon, and T loops). RNAcentral also lists the same sequence under 3 other names. Lineage: Eukaryota; Metazoa; Chordata; Mammalia; Carnivora; Felidae. The record is from Rfam by way of RNAcentral.